This 858-nucleotide long non-coding RNA is filed under the name Rattus norvegicus (Norway rat). Its description in RNAcentral is "long non-coding RNA NONRATT018702". The record is from RNAcentral. Lineage: Eukaryota; Metazoa; Chordata; Mammalia; Rodentia; Muridae.
AAGCUGGAGCCAUGGAUCCUUCCAUGCUUACUCAUUGGUUGGGGUUUAGUCUCUGGGAGCUCUGCUGGGGUCUGGUUGGUUGCUAUUAUUGUUCUUCCUAUGGGGUUGCAAACUCCUUCUGCUCCUUCAGUCCUUUCUCUAACUUCUCCAUUUUGCUCCCUAUGCUCAGCCCAAUGGUUAACUGCAAGCAUCCUCAUCUGUAUCAGUAAGGCUCUAUCAGAGUCUCUUAGGAGACAUCUAUAUCUGGCUCUUGGCAGCAAACACUUCUUGGCAUCAGCAAUAGUGACUGGGUUUGGUGGACAUUCCCCCCAUGCCACCCCAUUGUUUCUAAUCCUGCUUCCAAUACCUGUUAAACCACCAAUUCUUCUCAAUGAGUAGCUGUCCAGUUUUGAGAUCUUUCAUUCUGUUGUGCGUUCAAUGAACUAGGUUUAAAUAGGGGUGCUAUGUGAGUGUGGGUGUAAUUUAUUCAGGAGAACAUGAAAACAUCACUCCAGAAGAGCACAACAUUUCUCCCCCUAGCAGCCAUUGACUGUUAAGGACAUUUUAGUAUAGAAAUGUGACAAAUGACUCUUCAUCCUCAUAACCAUAUGUGGUUUCAUGAGUGUAAUGGCCAUGGUAGUGCUUCACAGCAGUUAGUUCUGUCACAUGGCUCUCAUAUACUUUCCUCCCUCUUUCCAUGGUGUUUUCUUAGCAUGGGAGGAUAGAUAUCCAUGUUCUGCUGGGCACUCAAUGGUUGCUUACUCCUAGCACUUUAAUCAGGCAUGAGUCUGUGCAUAAGUUUCCUGUUAGUCACCUAUUUUCUUUCUCUGAAAUAAAACAAUCACCCUUGUGAGGGGGAAAGGGAAGGUGUGAAAAUCA